RNAcentral lists this transfer RNA (64 nucleotides) under Ptosima chinensis. RNAcentral describes it as "tRNA-Tyr". The record is from RNAcentral. Lineage: Eukaryota; Metazoa; Arthropoda; Insecta; Coleoptera; Buprestidae.
GUUUGGAUGGCCGAGUCUAGGCGGUAAAUUGUAAAUUUACUUACGGGAGCUAUCCCUCCAAUCA